GUCCUGGCCCUAAACGGUGCGUACUUGCUGUAAGCGGAUUCGACCCCGCUUGUGGCGCAGUUAACACGAUAAGUACGCCGCCUGGGAAGUACGGUCGCAAGAUUAAAACUCAAAGAAAUUGACGGGGGCCUGCACAAGCGGUGGAGUAUGUGGCUUAAUUCGAUGCAACGCGAAGAACCUUACCUGGUCUUGACAUGCGCGUAGUAGAAGCCUGAAAGGGCAACGAGGUAGCAAUACCAGCGUGCACAGGUGCUGCAUGGCUGUCGU
This 267-nucleotide ribosomal RNA is filed under the name uncultured bacterium. RNAcentral's name for it is "partial 16S ribosomal RNA". It matches the Rfam family "Bacterial small subunit ribosomal RNA", at positions 793 to 1055 of the family's 1533-position model. The record is from RNAcentral.